CUUCAACAUUCAGACCAAGGCAGUUCCCAAGACCUCUCUGUGAGGUCAGGGCAAGGAGAGCCUAUUCUUUCUUGCUUACAGGGUCACGGUGGGGCUUCACACCCGGUGACCUGCGGGUGACCACACAGUGAGUGCAAAGCAGGGCCUGAGUCACUGCCCCCAGCUGGCUUGGGUUGGUUCCUCCCCAGGCAAACGCCUUGGCGCCCCUCUUGGGCCGGAGCCUGCUAGGAUUACAGCUGAAUGCACUGGUUCGAAAGGAAGAAAGAAAAUCCCGCAAGUUAAGUAGAGUCAAUUCCUGUCCCCACACGGUGGGUCCCGGGCGGCUGUCGCUAACCCGCUUGCUGGCGAAGAAAGGAGCUUAUUAUGUGCGGGCGGAGAGGGGGGCCGGGAGGUGUUAAGCAGAGAAAACGGGUUGAAAUUCGAGUCCGGGCGAUGCUGGCAGCCCGGCGCCUGCUGUUAGACAGUCCGAUGAACCCUGAUAAACCCAGAGGCGCUUUCCCGCACCCCCGUGCAGCCCGGAAACUUCAGCACCCGGUGGAGAGGGGAGGGUGCCGGAGCAGGGUGCCGGCACAGGGGAGAGAGCUGCCUCCGGACCCCAGGCCGGGCCAUGCUCCUGGUUCUGGUGACAAUGACGUGGUCUGCACCGGAGGGUGCGUGGCUCCCGAGGACCCUGCAGAUGGAGCCACUUAAGGGCGCGACCUGGACAUGGACCCCUUUCUGGGACAUUGUCGGCUGCACCAUCCUCCCAGAGCAGCGGGAGAGGACCCAGGCAGGCUCACACAUACCCCCAUAUCCCCUUGCAGUCCGGGACCCUGGGGCAACCACCCUUCUCAGUAGCAUUCAGACUUCUGUGGUUCAUCCUGCCCAAGGAGAUGAAGGUGGGUAAUGCCACCCAACCCCAUGCUUCAUUAAGGAAGGUUAAAGCAGUGUCCUGAAGAGAGACGUACACCCAUGUUCGUAGCAGCAUUAUUCCAACAACCCAAGGUGGAAGCAGCCCAAAGUCCACCGAGGGACGAAUGGAUGAAUCGAAUGUGAUAUGUACCUGCAGCCUCAGAGAGGAAGGACACUGAUACACACAACAGGGUGGACGGGGUGGGGGGUGCUUUAUGCUAAGUGAAACGAGCCAGUCUCAGAAAGAUCCAUAUGGUAGACUCCACUUAUAGGAAGUACCAGGGUAGCAACAGACACAGGAAAGGGAGUGGUGGUUGGAGGGAUUGUGGGGAGGAAGAGGGAAGCUCAGGGGGGAACAGACUUCAGUGUUUCAAGAUGAAAAGGUUCUGGAGAUCUGUUGCAUGGCUACACUGAAGGUCCUUAAUUGUCACUGAAGUGUGUGCUGGAAAAUGGCUUAGCCAUGGUACAUUUUACAUUAUGUGGUUUUUACCAAGCAAAAAAGUGUGUGUGUGUGUGUGUGUGUGUGUGUGUGUGUGUGUGUGUGGGCGGGGGCGCGGCAGUAAGCACAGGGGACAAUAAAGCUUGAAAAAUUGCACAAUGAGAGAAAAUUACAGAUCAAACUCAUGGACAUUGAGGCAAAAUUUUUAGAUAUUUUUAACAGAAUCUCACUACAUUAAAAGAAUAACAUACAAAAAAUAAUUAAAAUGGUAAAUUUUAUGUUACAUAUUUUUUUACUGCAGUUUUUUAAACAAAAAUCCUCUACCCUCUCACCAAAAUCUUUAUGGGCUGAUCAAGACCCAGAGUGAAAAGGGUGAGCUGGGCAGCGGGGGCCAAACCAGUCGGCCUUACAGCCUGGGAAGUCCCAGGCAGGAUUGCAGAACUCUCCAGACCCUUCCUUCCAUCAGUGGGAUGGCAGGGUUAGGGGGGGGGCGUGGUCCCCAGAGCUUCACAUGCUACUGGGAUGUUGGUGACUCAUGGUUUGGCUUGGCACAAGGUGGAGACCAACUGCUUAGGCCAUCUGUGAGCAAAAGGGGACUCUAGGUUCCUUAGAGUCUUAAACAGAGGAAAAUGUUAUAGACAAAGUUCCUUGAGGGGUAGGGGAGAAAAUAAAAACGCAGAAAUGGAUCACAGAGAAAAGACAUUUUUGUAAUUCUAAAAGGAAAUGUUCACUGCUCUCCAGGCAGGUAAGGGAGCUCCUACCCUUCUGGUCCUUAUAGGCUAUGCUCCUUAUGAAAUGUUCACAUGCAGCAGCUGCCCCCAUCCUUCUUAAGUCACUCAGCUGUUGGCACAGAAGCCCUAUCGCAUCAUGUUUAAAAUUUCCACUUUUCUGAUCCUGUCUGAGGGGUACAACUGGGUUGCCACACUGGGGUGAAAGCACAGUUUCCAUGUGUUUGUGUUGAUGUGAACAAGACAUAGUGUCCCUGGGCCUUGUCUUACAACCACAACACCAUGACCAGUCUCUUGUACAGCAGGAUGAAAAACUUGAAUGAUUGGUAUUUGUCAUAAUUCAAAAUAGUCAAAAUGAACCACUGUUCAGAUCAUUGUUCUAAUCAUUUUCAUCUUUUUUUUUUUCCAAGCUAAGAGGGUUCUGGAUCGACAUGGGUCUGUGAAAUGAGAAUCACAAGAUAUCGCUGACUCCCAAAUUGCUUCUUAAGUAAUACUAAAAAUGUUUUUGGCUUCCCAUUCUAAUAUUAAAUUGUAGUAAAAUAUAUGUAACAUAAAAUUUACCAUUUUAACUACUAACUAUUGAAAAGGACUUUGGUUUCAUUUGUGAGUAAUCAACAAGAGAUAAUGUGUGUGAAAGUGUUUUGAUCCUUGUUUGGAAGAAAUGGCAUCAAUGUCAGCAUCCUACCUGAGCAUUCUAUGAAGUAUUCGUCCCCAGAAAUGGAGGGGGAGGACAACCAAUUCUGAAAUGCUUCUUCUCUCCCACUGGAGGCUGGGCUGAUAGCUCUCCGUUUUCAGUUACAAACAAAACACAGUUUGUAUCUGACGGCAAAAUAAUACAUAUUCAUUGUUAAAGAAAAUAAAACCUUGGAAAAUACAGAAGACCACAAAGAAUUGAUUUCUUUUUAAUUUGAUCUCUCUCUCUCUUUCUCUUUGAAAAGAAGAAAAGUUUCAAUAGAGACCUAUUUCCAGAAGAUUACCUAUCAGAAAUAGAACACCCCACUUUACCAUUUGGAUCCUGUUCUCCACUGUGAACAUCUGACUGGUCCUCAGGAGAGACAAUAUGGCUUCCGGUUGACAAGAGGUUUCAAUGAGCAAUAAAGGACCAGCAUCCUAAUCCUACCUGGGCAAUGCCCCACCAUAUGGCCUGGAAAAGUAAUUUAACACCUCAAAAGCACCCUCAUCUGCAAACUGGAGUUGCUCAUGACUAUGCUAUGAGGAGAAAAAUCAAUGAGCUAAUCCAAGAGAGAAAUUGGUGCUGUAUCUAGCAUAUACUAAGUACUCAAAAAAAAAAAAAAAAGUAAAAAGAUGCCUUUUCAAUACAUGUCCUAGAAGCUGAAUUUGUGUCAACUACCCCUUGAGUGAUCACUAAAGCCUGGGGGUAAUUCAGAUACUGGUGCUAAGUUACUUUUCUGAAAAAGAUGGCAUACUGAAAGCUCAAUUCUGGAUGCUCUUUUUUCUUUUCCUUUUACUGCUCCCCCACCCCAUGCCAUUAACUUGCCUCAGGCUAUCAGACUCUUGGGACACUAGAGCAGUGUGACUCAUGGGUAUGUGAAGGGAACCUCAUCAGGUUUCCAUCUUUCUGCUGUGUUAGAUGGGAAGUGCCAUAUGCCAAGAAGAGUGAGGAUGUGCCUCUUGUAAGGUUGGGAAUGAAUUUUUCCCUACUGCACUGAGCUCUCCGAAAGAUACUUUAUUCCCACGCUUUGUUCCAAAUGAUAUUGCUAUCAGCAGGAGAAAGCAAGAUCCAGUGAUAGGAUUAGAUAGACCCUCAGUCUGUCAAUCAGCAAAGAAGGAACCAAUCUAGCCUGACACUUGCUUUAAUUGAAGGAAGUGGCUAGGAAGCAGAGCAUGCAGAGGUGAACUGCAUCCCUGCACCCUGCAUCUAACCUGGGACCCUCUUGACCUCACCCCUUUUUACUAUAUAAAGGAAGACACUGAGCUUUGUCUUAGUUUUGAUCUUAUAGCUUCUGUGAAACCCAUGAUUCUUUCUCUUAUGGGAUGCUGAGACUUCCUGGUUAACUUUGUUGAAUGGUUAUAAAUCCAUCUCUUGAUUCCUAAAUCCACGUAAUUCAUGGCAUUCUCAAGUGACAGCAUUUUAGGCAACCAACCAUAGAAAGAAGCAUUCAUCUAGGAACUAGGAAGUUUGAACUCUUGUUUUGUCCACCAAAGCUAGAAAUCCUUCAAGUAGGCUCCAUGCUACAGGGUCCACAGGAUUUCCUCCACUCAGGGAGGAGACUACAACUGUGGCAAUAAGUAUUUUAUGAGCCCUGACUACAAGUUGGUUAUUACUGAAGAUCUGGUGCCAUUAGUUAAGAGGGGGAGGAAAUGCAUUCUUUAGCAAUCUGGACCUGGCAUCUAAAAUUUAAUAUCUGUCACUGAGAGCCGACAUGUUGGCUGUCACUCAUCUAUGAAUGUGGGUCCACUAGAUAGCAGGAAGCUUAAUUUCAGGAAUUUUUAUUGUUUGAGUGAUUAUAUCACUCACCCCUUCACUCUUUAGAAAGGGAAAGUGAAGCCCAGAGAAGUGAAUUAGCUCAAGCUUAUCACCCAGCUUAUUACGCUCAUCCUUGAACACAGGGCUCCUGACUGCUAGACUGGGUUCAUCUAAUUUUGGAAAGUAGUACUUAUUACUUGGGCAAAUAUGCCUUCCUCAUCAUUACUAAGCCUCUUCCAUCUCACCCUGGACAUCAUAUUCAAGCACCCAUUAGACAGAAUCAUACCUAGCAAAAUGGACACCCUGUGUACUUAUGGUGGAAGGAAUAUUGGUGCUGUCUGAAAGUGUGUGUGUUCCUUACUUAUGUCCUGACUCAAGGAACGCAGUCUCCAGGUAUCCUCAAGAUGUAGGCCAAAGGCUCAUGUAGGGAUGUAGCUAGAGUGGAAACAGCUCAAGUAACUAAUCAUAGAGGCCUGGGGACUUUAAUUAUGGCAUAUGCAUUGACAGGUAGUAUCUGAUUAUGUGAGAAUAUUUACCAAUAUGGGAAAAUGUUCAUAUAUUCUGAUUGGAAAAGAAAAUGAUAUACAAAUAAUAGAAGACUAGAAGAAAUGUGCCAAAACACUAAUAGUGAUUACCUCUGGCUGCUAGGGUUAUAGAUGACUUUUUUUUCACACACAUAUGUCUUCUGUAAUAAAUGAUAUAGAUUUGAUUGUACCUCUUUUGUACCCAGAUGUACAACUUUAUGCAUAGUGACUCAGCCUAAGGGACCAUGUUUCAGGUUGGUCAAUGCUCCAGCCUUCCUGAUAGUCUUCUUGGUUGAUGACUGACUGGUAGACUGUCCUCCUCUUAUCUGCUCUGAAGAUUAUCACUACUGUUUCUCUUCUGUGUACAUUUCCUCUUGAUCAAGUUAUCCAUUACUUAGAACAUGAUGGAGUCAAGAAGGUAAUAAGACUUGUGGAUGAUGAUGAUGAUGAUGAUGAUGAUGAUGAUGAUGAUGAUGAUAUACAGAAAAUGAUCUUGAUAAAACCCUGAAAUGUAUUGUGAAAGGCAGGAAAGCAUGUUUUCUAUCCUAAAGUCGUGGUAAGGGCAAGAGGUACAAAAGGGGAAUUUUGCUGGGUGUGUCUCUAGGCUCUAACAUAUUUCCAGGCCUGUUUCUAAGCUCCCAAACCACUUGUUCCUGGCCAUGUGAUGAUGGAUCUCUGCUGAAGGAAGAGCCCAGGAACUAGAGAAGAAAACUGGGACAGACAUAUGACCCAAAGAGAAUACUGGGAAGAAAGAAGCAAAGCCAAGCUCCUGUGUGGACAUGUGAGGGGUACCCUUCAUGGUCUCUACCUCGUGGACGUGUCCAGUGGUUUUCUUUUAACCUGAAGGAUAUUAUUUUAUUGCUUCAAGGGUUUGUUGAAGAAAAUCAAAUCCUUGAGAGAACUGGUCUUUGCAAAGGGAUUUUUUUUUGCCCCAACCCAUGCUGAGCUUCUGAGAGAGCUCCAAGCCCACUUUCCUGCCCUGGUCCAUGUGCCUGGCUGUGUCCUCCAUUUUGUUCUUAGAAACCCCUUUCAACACACUCACAGGAACAGGGAAGGGCAUGCUACCCAUCUCUAGGGUCAGCUGCAGCUGAGGUUCUAGGAUGUAGUCCAACAAAAUCUCCUGAAUCAGUGAGGAACGGGGACAAUCAUCACUUAACAGAAUCAAUCCAGGGCUCUUGGUCCUCAACAGUUGGUAGUCUCUCACUGUGGACUUAAAAUCCUCUUGUCAGGAAACCCAGGGGAACAUGAGUUGUAAGCAUAGAGUUCAAAAUUAAGUAUGGUGGUUGGGGAAAUGGUGCUUCGGGGACAGUUAAUGAAAUGAAAUAGAGGGAAAUCCUCAAUUUUUUUCACAGUAAUUAAACUACAGAGGUAUAUCUUGAAGCCUACAAAAAAUCAUCCUAACCCCAGGGAUCUCUGGUGAGCUCUGCUUUUCUGUUCUAAUAUGUGUUUAGCCAAAACAGCUUCACAAUGAACAAUAUGAAUUGGCUUAUGUUUCCCAAUAGGGCAAGAGAAACAGUUCAAACGUCAGUGCCAGGUUAAAACCAUGAAACCCGUGCUUACAUUGCCAGAGCUGGCCAGAUCCACUUCUCCUGGCUCUAGACCUCACGGCCCUCUUGAACAUCAACCUACCGAAUUGGCAGAAAUGUUAUCCAAAGGGAGAGAAAAGGGAAAUUGCAUGGAAAUGAAGGGAGACCCUCAUUGCUAUACAAAAUUACAUAUAAGAGGUUGUGAGGGGAAUGGAAAAAUAAACAAGGAGAGAAAUGAAUUGCAGU
Molecule: non-coding RNA, 6782 nt
Organism: Ictidomys tridecemlineatus (thirteen-lined ground squirrel)
Lineage: Eukaryota; Metazoa; Chordata; Mammalia; Rodentia; Sciuridae
Source: RefSeq, a predicted model, not a curated record